Molecule: unclassified non-coding RNA, 253 nt
Filed under: Candidatus Nomurabacteria bacterium
Lineage: Bacteria; Candidatus Nomuraibacteriota
Description: contains 16S-23S intergenic spacer region
Rfam family: Bacterial small subunit ribosomal RNA
Source: RNAcentral
UACGAGAGCCUCGAGCGUUAUCCGGAAUUAUUGGGCGUAAAGGGUGCGUAGGUUGUUCUGUUAGUCUUUUGUUAAAUCCCCGGGCUUAACUCGGGAAUCGCAAAAGAAACGGCAGAGCUUGAAAGUGUGAGAGGCGUACGGAACUCAUGGUGUAGGGGUGAAAUCCGUUGAUAUCAUGGGGAACAUCAAAUGCGAAGGCAGUACGCUGGCACAUAUUAGACACUGAGGCACGAAAGCGUGGGUAGCGAAUGGG